CGGGAAAGUGGAGUGGAAGCUAUAAUUUGACGAUACCACGGAGGUAUUAGACGUGACUCUGAAUGCCUCUGUGAAGAGAGGAGAAGCUCUACUGGUUAGCGAAGCCGACGACGAGCCAACUGGAACUGCUCUCCUGGUUAAAGAGACCUGCACUGGCUGCCGAGGAAUCGGAGCUAGCCUGUGGGAGGCGAAGGAACCAAAGCGAGGAACAGAGACCGAGAGAGACGACAUGGACAAGGAUUCCUCUAAAUGGGAUUGGAGACGAGAGGAAGUGUCUGAGGGUGAGAGAGAAGAAGAUUCAGAGGGGCAAGAUGGAGAUCAGGGGGAGAGAGAAUGAGGAUACCCUGCGUGGCUCCUGG
This 359-nucleotide long non-coding RNA is filed under the name Spirodela polyrhiza (greater duckweed). RNAcentral's name for it is "long non-coding RNA (SPOL_LNC000828)". The record is from RNAcentral. Lineage: Eukaryota; Viridiplantae; Streptophyta; Magnoliopsida; Alismatales; Araceae.